AUUUAAGUUUAAUUCUGGCUUUAAUAUUUUUGUUAUUUAAAUCAAUUAUAUGUGUUUUUAUAAAUUUGAUUUUAAACAGUAAUUAGAAUUUCUAAAUUUAUUUAUUUAAAUUAAGGUAUUUAUUUUUUAGUUGAUUAAUGUUGUGCCAGCAUUCGCGGUUAUACAAUUAUACUAAAAUUAAAAUUUUAAGUUUUAAUAUAUUUUAUUUGAGAUAAAGAUUAAUUUUAUUUAGGUGGAAUUUAUAUUUUUAUAUAUUAUUCUUUAUAAUUUAUUGCAAAUUUUUUUUAAAAAAUAGGAUUAGAUACCCUAGUAUUAAUUAUUUAAAUUUUAAGCUAGAAUAAAAGUAGUUUUCUUCAUAACUCAAAGAAUUUGGCGGCUAAUUUAAUUCAGAGGAAUCUGUAUAUUAAUUGAUAAACCACGAUAUUUUAUACUUUCUAUUUAUUUAUAUACCUCUAUAUUUAUAGAAUGUUUUUAUAGAAUAAUUUUCUUUAGGAUAAAUCAUUAAUUUUAGGUCAAGGUGUAGUUUUUAGAAUGUUUAUAUGGAUUACGUAAGUUUUAAUUAUAAUUUUAUUUUAACAUUGUUGUUUAAUAUUAUUUAUAGGAUUUGAUAGUAAAUUUAAUUAAUUAAUUAUUUUUAAUUUUAUUAUAAUUAGUGUACAUAUUGCCCGUCACUCCUAUAUAGGAUAAGUCGUAACAAAGUAAUUUUACCGGAAGGUGAGGUUAGAUAAA
RNAcentral lists this non-coding RNA (729 nucleotides) under Hypsauchenia hardwickii. Lineage: Eukaryota; Metazoa; Arthropoda; Insecta; Hemiptera; Membracidae. The record is from RNAcentral.